This 463-nucleotide unclassified non-coding RNA is filed under the name uncultured bacterium. RNAcentral's name for it is "16S-23S ribosomal RNA intergenic spacer". The record is from RNAcentral.
CUAAGGAGCAUAUGUCACGCACUCAUCGACUGUAUGAGUGGUGGCGCUCAUGGGUGGAAUCAUAAACAAGAAAAACCUUUGAUCAGCUCUGUUGGACUGAGUACCUGGUGUUCUUUUAGAACGCCGGCGGAAAUGUUGAGCAGUCGUUGGAAAGGGUUUGCAAACACACUAUUGGGUUAUGAAACAACAAUGGCUAGUACGUGUACUAGUGGUUGGUUGUUUUGUAUGCCAGGUCAUGACCGGUUGUCCUUAGAUCAUGUAAGCAAACGUUUGUUUGUUUGUGUGUGGGGCGGUUUGGUUGUGGGUUUGGUCGUUGUUUGAGAACUGGAUAGUGGACGCGAGCAUCUUUAUUAAAAGUUUUUGGUCCGCACAUAAUUUUCUUCUGUCUCCCAUGAUGUGGGGGAUGAGGUUUUAUGGUGCGGUUUUCUUAACUAGUGAUAAUUAGUUUUUUGUGUGUUUGUGU